Molecule: long non-coding RNA, 350 nt
Organism: Pelmatolapia mariae (spotted tilapia)
Lineage: Eukaryota; Metazoa; Chordata; Actinopteri; Cichliformes; Cichlidae
Exons: 3
Source: RefSeq, a predicted model, not a curated record
GGAGAAUACCAAAUGUACUUCCCUCCACCCCCUGCAGGAGGAGCCCUCCUCAGCCUCAUCAUUAGCAUCAUGAAAGAUGGCAAAGAAUUUCACAAAAGAGCUUUGCUGAUGUCAUAUGGCAAAAAAUAACUAACGAGACUCAUGAAAACGAUUAUUAGGAAAAUCGCCUCAAAUCGAGACACCACUGGUACCACACAUGUUGGUUGAAGAUGGAUCUAUUGUGUCUGUAAUCAGCACCAUCAAUGACGAAUUUGGCUGCAAGGGCCUCUCUCCAAGCACUGGAAUCAUUCUCAACAACCAGCUGUCUGACUUCUGCAAUAGAACUAAUAGCAUUUCUCCUGGUGAAGAGA